This 468-nucleotide ribosomal RNA is filed under the name uncultured bacterium. Its description in RNAcentral is "partial 16S ribosomal RNA". It matches the Rfam family "Bacterial small subunit ribosomal RNA", at positions 28 to 507 of the family's 1533-position model. The record is from RNAcentral.
GAUGAACGCUGGCGGCGUGCUUAACACAUGCAAGUCGAACGGAAAGGCCCAAGCUUGCUUGGGUACUCGAGUGGCGAACGGGUGAGUAACACGUGGGUGAUCUGCCCUGCACUUCGGGAUAAGCCUGGGAAACUGGGUCUAAUACCGGAUAGGACGAUGGUUUGGAUGCCAUUGUGGAAAGUUUUUUCGGUGUGGGAUGGGCUCGCGGCCUAUCAGCUUGUUGGUGGGGUAUUGGCCUACCAAGGCGUCGACGGGUAGCCGGCCUGAGAGGGUGUACGGCCACAUUGGGACUGAGAGACGGCCCAGACUACUACGGGAGGCAGCAGUGGGGAAUAUUGGACAAUGGGAGCAAGCCUGAUGCAGCGACGCCGCGUGGGGGAUGACGGCCUUGGGGUUGUAAACUCCUUUCGCUAGGGAAGAAGCGAUUUUGUGACGGUACCUGGAGAAGAAGCACCGGCUAACUACGUG